This 465-nucleotide ribosomal RNA is filed under the name Vreelandella stevensii. RNAcentral's name for it is "partial 16S ribosomal RNA". It matches the Rfam family "Bacterial small subunit ribosomal RNA", at positions 338 to 795 of the family's 1533-position model. Lineage: Bacteria; Pseudomonadati; Pseudomonadota; Gammaproteobacteria; Oceanospirillales; Halomonadaceae. The record is from RNAcentral.
CCUACGGGUGGCUGCAGUGGGGAAUAUUGGACAAUGGGGGGAACCCUGAUCCAGCCAUGCCGCGUGUGUGAAGAAGGCCCUCGGGUUGUAAAGCACUUUCAGUGAGGAAGAACGCCUGGUGGUUAAUACCCAUCAGGAAAGACAUCACUCACAGAAGAAGCACCGGCUAACUCCGUGCCAGCAGCCGCGGUAAUACGGAGGGUGCGAGCGUUAAUCGGAAUUACUGGGCGUAAAGCGCGCGUAGGUGGCUUGAUAAGCCGGGUGUGAAAGCCCCGGGCUCAACCUGGGAACGGCAUCCGGAACUGUCAAGCUAGAGUGCAGGAGAGGAAGGUAGAAUUCCCGGUGUAGCGGUGAAAUGCGUAGAGAUCGGGAGGAAUACCAGUGGCGAAGGCGGCCUUCUGGACUGACACUGACACUGAGGUGCGAAAGCGUGGGUAGCAAACAGGAUUAGAUACCCGGGUAGUC